Magnolia sinica is the source of this 286-nucleotide long non-coding RNA. RefSeq lists it as uncharacterized. The transcript is spliced from 3 exons. The record is from RefSeq and is a predicted model, not a curated record. Lineage: Eukaryota; Viridiplantae; Streptophyta; Magnoliopsida; Magnoliales; Magnoliaceae.
GUUGAGGCACCUUUGGAUCCAAAGAAGGAGCUGGAAAGAUUAGUAUCUGAACACAAGUAUGGGGAAGCAUUCACUUCAGCCCUUCAAAGAAGUGAUGUCACCAUUGUGUCCUGGUUAUGUUCUCAGAUUCAACUUCAAAGACUCCUAUGGCAACUCACAUUAUCACUAGCACCAUUGAUCUUGUCCUCUUUUGGUGGGUUGAUUUACAAGCAAUUCUAUCAGUUCUUCCUCUUCCUCUGAGUCAAGGAGUCCUGCUAUCCCUUCUCCAACAGCUAGCAUGCGAUAU